Molecule: ribosomal RNA, 254 nt
Filed under: uncultured bacterium
Lineage: Bacteria
Description: partial 16S ribosomal RNA
Rfam family: Bacterial small subunit ribosomal RNA
Source: RNAcentral
UACGUAGGGGGCAAGCGUUGUCCGGAAUCAUUGGGCGUAAAGCGCGUGUAGGCGGCCCGGUAAGUCCGCUGUGAAAGUCGGGGGCUCAACCCUCGAAUGCCGGUGGAUACUGUCGGGCUAGAGUGCGGGAGAGGCGGAGUGGAAUUCCUGGUGUAGCGGUGAAAUGCGCAGAUAUCAGGAGGAACACCAAUUGCGAAGGCAGCUCGCUGGAACGUAACUGACGCUGAGACGCGAAAGCGUGGGGAGCAAACAGG